AACUCCCUGAAGCUAUGAUUAGGAAGGUGCCUGAUCAACUGUAGCAAGUCAGACAUUUUUGGCCCAUUCCUUGGCACCCUUGGUAAGCUCCCUUGAAACAAGAAGCUCAUUGGUUCUCAAGGAAACCCUCUGCUGGAAAUCCAGGAACACUUCAAAGUGCUGGCAUUUGAAAACUGAGGCAAAUAACAUCUUACAAACAAUGAAAACAACUGGGUGACAAGCUACAAUUUAAAACACACACAUUAUUUUAACGGAUCAUAAACCAAAUAGUAUAGAGUGAGAGAGAUAUACACUCAUUUGUAAUAAAGACAAAUGAUUGAAACCACUUAA
Ictidomys tridecemlineatus (thirteen-lined ground squirrel) is the source of this 330-nucleotide non-coding RNA. The record is from RefSeq and is a predicted model, not a curated record. Lineage: Eukaryota; Metazoa; Chordata; Mammalia; Rodentia; Sciuridae.